This is a long non-coding RNA of Anguilla rostrata (American eel), 1023 nucleotides long. RefSeq lists it as uncharacterized. The transcript is spliced from 4 exons. The record is from RefSeq and is a predicted model, not a curated record. Lineage: Eukaryota; Metazoa; Chordata; Actinopteri; Anguilliformes; Anguillidae.
CACCACAGUGAUUUUCACCCUUCCAUUUCAAAUGGGCAUUGUUCGCAAAACCAGAAAAGGGCGUGGUUUUUAUCAAAAUGCCAAUUCGCCUGUUCUCUGGUAUUAUAAAUACUGAGAGAAAGCGAUUUGGCUGCAGAAGCAACUAAACUAAGACCAGUCUCAGCAGUGCUAACCCCUCUCUACACGCCUCAAUAUGUGUGACCAAGGUAUGUGCAAUCUUUAUUUCAACUUUUUAACUUUUUAACAGAACAUUCUGCACACUUGAGGUACAGAGGGUAAAUCAAAUUGUCAAUCUGUGUAAACGUAGAAUUCUUGUUGUCUUUUCUCAGUUUUGAAAGAACUACUUUUAUAUCUGAUCAAAAGCCUUGUCAAAUUGUCAGGCAUGUACUGUGCAAAACAAUGUUUGUGAGUGUUUUGAACAAGGCACCCUCUAACAUGUCCUUUUCAUUUACAGAACAUAAAAAGGUAAGACAUUUACUCUCAACUUACUUUAAAAAAAGUGCCUGUGUUACAUACUUACGUAUAAAUUAAAUAAUCCUCUGUUCAUCUUUUCUUUUUGUCAGAAGGACAAAGCUCCUGGACAAGAUUGUGAGGGUAAAGGUGAGCCAGGACAGGGCAAAGGAAAACAUGGACCACCAGAAGGAAAGGGACCAUCUUGUGGAACCGGGGCAGAACAUGCAAAAGGGGGAGGACAGAAAGCGGGGCGAGGAGGGCGAGGAGGGCAAGGAGAGCACGGAGGGAAAUAAUGACAACAACAUGUUGGAUCUCUGAGGAAAACUAUGCCUCUUUACAAUCUGUUUUAAUCUAUUAUCAUCUCAAGAGAUAUUAAAAAGAUAAUCUCAAUGUUUUAGUUUAAAAAGAUGUAUGAUGAAAAUGUACUUUUCAGAUAGCCUGUACCUGCAAAUAUAGGGGCCAAGCACUUAUAGCCACAAAUGCCCAACUACCAGUGCAAUCACAGGUAAGCAAUAAUGUUAACAAACAAACAAACAAACAAAUAAAUAAAUAAAUAAAUAAAUAAAUAAA